This is a non-coding RNA of Mycena leptocephala, 94 nucleotides long. NCBI's taxonomy places the organism in Eukaryota, Fungi, Basidiomycota, Agaricomycetes, Agaricales, Mycenaceae. The record is from the annotation of a GenBank genome assembly.
GACUCGUAGCGAUGGUGCGCACCUGCUCUCUGAGGUUGUGAAAAAUACAAAUGAAAUCCACAGCAGGUUCCCGGUUCGAUUCCGGGUUGAGUCA